RNAcentral lists this small RNA (28 nucleotides) under Bombyx mori (domestic silkworm). RNAcentral's name for it is "ovarian small RNA-22744". The record is from RNAcentral. Lineage: Eukaryota; Metazoa; Arthropoda; Insecta; Lepidoptera; Bombycidae.
UAGGUAUACCGCCUUCGUUGCCAAACAU